RNAcentral lists this ribosomal RNA (467 nucleotides) under uncultured bacterium. RNAcentral's name for it is "partial 16S ribosomal RNA". It matches the Rfam family "Bacterial small subunit ribosomal RNA", at positions 29 to 507 of the family's 1533-position model. The record is from RNAcentral.
ACGAACGCUGGCGGCGUGCUUCACACAUGCACGUCGAACGGAAAGGCCCUGCUUUUGUGGGGUGCUCGAGUGGCGAACGGGUGAGUAACACGUGAGUAACCUGCCCUUGACUUUGGGAUAACUUCAGGAAACUGGGGCUAAUACCGGAUAGGAGCUCCUGCUGCAUGGUGGGGGUUGGAAAGUUUCGGCGGUUGGGGAUGGACUCGCGGCUUAUCAGCUUGUUGGUGGGGUAGUGGCUUACCAAGGCUUUGACGGGUAGCCGGCCUGAGAGGGUGACCGGCCACAUUGGGACUGAGAUACGGCCCAGACUCCUACGGGAGGCAGCAGUGGGGAAUAUUGCACAAUGGGCGGAAGCCUGAUGCAGCAACGCCGCGUGCGGGAUGACGACCUUCGGGUUGUAAACCGCUUUCGCCUGUGACGAAGCGUGAGUGACGGUAAUGGGUAAAGAAGCACCGGCUAACUACGUG